UAUAUCUUGCAUCCAAGUUGUGUGGUAUC
This 29-nucleotide non-coding RNA is filed under the name Mus musculus (house mouse). Lineage: Eukaryota; Metazoa; Chordata; Mammalia; Rodentia; Muridae. The record is from RNAcentral.